RNAcentral lists this ribosomal RNA (276 nucleotides) under uncultured prokaryote. Its description in RNAcentral is "partial 16S ribosomal RNA". It matches the Rfam family "Bacterial small subunit ribosomal RNA", at positions 524 to 800 of the family's 1533-position model. The record is from RNAcentral.
UACGUAGGGGGCUAGCGUUAUCCGGAAUUACUGGGCGUAAAGGGUGCGUAGGCGGUCUUUCAAGCCAGAAGUGAAAGGCUACGGCUCAACCGUAGUAAGCUUUUGGAACUGUAAGACUUGAGUGCAGGAGAGGAGAGUGGAAUUCCUAGUGUAGCGGUGAAAUGCGUAGAUAUUAGGAGGAACACCAGUAGCGAAGGCGGCUCUCUGGACCGUAACUGACGCUGAGGCACGAAAGCGUGGGGAGCAAACAGGAUUAGAUACCCUGGUAGUCCCUGA